AUACGAGGAAAGAACCAACAGGGAUUGCCCCAGUAACGGCGAGUGAAGCGGCAACAGCUCAAAUUUGAAAUCUGGCUCCCUCGGGGCCCGAGUUGUAAUUUGCAGAGGGAGCUUUUGGCGUCGGUCGUGGUCUAAGUUCCUUGGAACAGGACGUCACAGAGGGUGAGAAUCCCGUACGUGGCCGCCGGCCUUCGCCUUGUAAAGCCCCUUCGACGAGUCGAGUUGUUUGGGAAUGCAGCUCUAAAUGGGAGGUAAAUUCCUUCUAAAGCUAAAUACCCGCCAGAGACCGAUAGCGCACAAGUAGAGUGAUCGAAAGAUGAAAAGCACUUUGGAAAGAGAGUGAAAAAGCACGUGAAAUUGUUGAAAGGGAAGCGCUUGCGGCUAGACGUGCCCGCGGUUGAUCAUCCAGGCUCCGGCCUGGUGCACUCCUCCGCGGGCAGGCCAGCAUCAGUUCGGGCGGUCGGAUAAAGGCCUCUGUCACGUACCACCCCUCGGGGUGGCCUUAUAGGGGAGGCGCAACACGGCCAGCCCGGACUGAGGUUCCGCGCAUCUGCUAGGAUGCUGGCGUAAUAGCAGCAAGCGGCCCGUCUUGAAACACGGACCAAGGAGUCUAACAUCUAUGCGAGUGUUUGGGUGUCAAGCCCGAGCGCGCAAUGAAAGUGAACGGAGGUGGGAACCCUCACGGGUGCACCAUCGACCGAUCCUGAUGUCUUCGGAUGGAUUUGAGUAAGAGCAUAGCUGUUGGGACCCGAAAGAUGGUGAACUAUGCCUGAAUAGGGUGAAGCCAGAGGAAACUCUGGUGGAGGCUCGCAGCGGUUCUGACGUGCAAAUCGAUCGUCAAAUUUGGGC
Molecule: ribosomal RNA, 849 nt
Filed under: Torula sp.
Lineage: Eukaryota; Fungi; Ascomycota; Dothideomycetes; Pleosporales; Torulaceae
Description: partial large subunit ribosomal RNA
Rfam family: Eukaryotic large subunit ribosomal RNA
Source: RNAcentral